CCAUACCAAACAUAGCCUAAAUUCGUAGGUGCAUGCCCCAAAAAAUAAGAAAAUGUGAAAGCCGAUUCAAAUCCAACAUUCUCAAGUAAGAAAUUCAUGCCAUUGAGACUUCAACAGGUUAUGGACCAUCUUUACAUUAGGUUUUCAAGACAAGGUAGUGUGUAAAUCUGUCUUCCAACUUUCGUGCCAGCUUUGGUGUCUAUAAUAAUUUGUAACAAAUUCUACUAAUAACGUGAAAUUGAUUUAAUAUUUUAGACCCUUAGUUUCUGUCACACUUCCAAUCCACGAUCAUGGAUCCAAGAUCAUGACAACCGCCAUACAUUCAUAGAGAACUCUCCUCA
Molecule: long non-coding RNA, 341 nt
Filed under: Elaeis guineensis (African oil palm)
Lineage: Eukaryota; Viridiplantae; Streptophyta; Magnoliopsida; Arecales; Arecaceae
Description: long non-coding RNA (EGUI_LNC049234)
Source: RNAcentral